This is a long non-coding RNA of Coregonus clupeaformis (lake whitefish), 270 nucleotides long. RefSeq lists it as uncharacterized. The record is from RefSeq and is a predicted model, not a curated record. The transcript has 3 exons. NCBI's taxonomy places the organism in Eukaryota, Metazoa, Chordata, Actinopteri, Salmoniformes, Salmonidae.
CUCUUCUCUGCGCUCAUGCACUGCCAAGUAGUUGCGGUGCGUGAAACAAGUCCGGCAGGGGACGAACGUUUUCACAACUGAACUUUGAGAGACGCUUUUUGGAUUCUUCAAUGAGCUCGUCUAGACACUUUUAGCGGCUUGGAGUGAAGACGGGACUGGGAGAGCACUACUGGGAAAACUACCUGAGUUUUCUCUUCCAGUCGGGAUUCAAAAUGAAGUUCUGGAUUUGUGUACUCGCUGUCAGCUGGGCAGUAGAAGCGACACACGGGG